Molecule: ribosomal RNA, 552 nt
Filed under: uncultured bacterium
Lineage: Bacteria
Description: partial 16S ribosomal RNA
Rfam family: Bacterial small subunit ribosomal RNA
Source: RNAcentral
UGGGGAAUAUUGCACAAUGGGCGCAAGCCUGAUGCAGCCAUGCCGCGUGUGUGAAGAAGGCCUUCGGGUUGUAAAGCACUUUCAGCGAGGAGGAAGGUGGUGAGCUUAAUACGCUCAUCAAUUGACGUUACUCGCAGAAGAAGCACCGGCUAACUCCGUGCCAGCAGCCGCGGUAAUACGGAGGGUGCAAGCGUUAAUCGGAAUUACUGGGCGUAAAGCGCACGCAGGCGGUUUGUUAAGUCAGAUGUGAAAUCCCCGGGCUCAACCUGGGAACUGCAUUUGAAACUGGCAAGCUAGAGUCUCGUAGAGGGGGGUAGAAUUCCAGGUGUAGCGGUGAAAUGCGUAGAGAUCUGGAGGAAUACCGGUGGCGAAGGCGGCCCCCCUGGACGAAGACUGACGCUCAGGUGCGAAAGCGUGGGGCAGCAAACAGGAUUAGAUACCCUGGUAGUCCAGCGCUGUAAACGAUGUCGAUUUGGAGGUUGUGCCCCUUGAGGCGUGGCUUCCGGAGCUAACGCGUUAAAUCGACCGCCUGGGGAGUACGGCCGCAAGGUU